Molecule: ribosomal RNA, 253 nt
Filed under: uncultured bacterium
Lineage: Bacteria
Description: partial 16S ribosomal RNA
Rfam family: Bacterial small subunit ribosomal RNA
Source: RNAcentral
UACAGAGGGGGCAAGCGUUGUUCGGAAUUACUGGGCGUAAAGGGCGCGUAGGCGGCCCGCUAAGUCGAGCGUGAAAUCCCCGAGCUCAACUCGGGAACUGCGUCCGAUACUGGCGGGCUUGAAUCCGGGAGAGGGAUGCGGAAUUCCAGGUGUAGCGGUGAAAUGCGUAGAUAUCUGGAGGAACACCGGUGGCGAAGGCGGCAUCCUGGACCGGUAUUGACGCUGAGGCGCGAAAGCUAGGGGAGCAAACGGG